This 275-nucleotide ribosomal RNA is filed under the name uncultured bacterium. RNAcentral's name for it is "partial 16S ribosomal RNA". It matches the Rfam family "Bacterial small subunit ribosomal RNA", at positions 28 to 311 of the family's 1533-position model. The record is from RNAcentral.
GACGAACGCUGGCGGCGCACCUAAGACAUGCAAGUCGAACGGGGGCUUCGGCCCCAGUGGCGGACGGGUGAGUAACGCGUAGGGGACCGUGCCCCGUGGAGGGGAGUACCACCGGGAAACCGGUAGCUAAGACCGCAUACGUCCGGUGGGCAUAGCGGCCAGCGGGGAAAUGCGCGAGCAGCCACGGGAGGGCCUUGCGGCGGAUUAGGUAGUUGGUGGGGUAGAAGCCUACCAAGCCGACGAUCCGUAGCUGGUCNGAGAGGACGACCAGCCAC